RNAcentral lists this ribosomal RNA (741 nucleotides) under uncultured archaeon. RNAcentral's name for it is "bacterial SSU rRNA". It matches the Rfam family "Archaeal small subunit ribosomal RNA", at positions 1 to 750 of the family's 1478-position model. The record is from RNAcentral.
UUCCGGUUGAUCCUGCCGGACCCGACUGCUAUCAGAGUGGGACUAAGCCAUGCGAGUCGACGUAGCAAUGCGUGGCGAACGGCUCAGUAACACGUAGUCAACAUGCCCAGGGGACGUGGAUAACCUCGGGAAACUGAGAAUAAACCACGAUAGGUCACGAUUUCUGGAAUGGAUCAUGGCCUAAAUCUACAUGGCCCCUGGAUUGGACUGCGGCCGAUCAGGCAGUUGGUGAGGUAAUGGCCCACCAAACCUAUAACCGGUACGGGCUCUGAGAGGAGAAGCCCGGAGAUGGGCACUGAGACAAGGGCCCAGGCCCUAUGGGGCGCAGCAGGCGCGAAACCUCUGCAAUAGGCGAAAGCCUGACAGGGUUACUCUGAGUGAUUUCCGCUAAGGGGAUCUUUUGGCACCUCUAAAAAUGGUGCAGAAUAAGGGGUGGGCAAGUCUGGUGUCAGCCGCCGCGGUAAUACCAGCACCCCGAGUGGUCGGGACGAUUAUUGGGCCUAAAGCAUCCGUAGCCGGUUCUGCAAGUCUUCCGUUAAAUCCAGCCGCUCAACGGAUGGGCCGCGGAGGAUACUACAGGACUAGGAGGCGGGAGAGGCAAGCGGUACUCAGUGGGUAGGGGUAAAAUCCUUUGAUCCAUUGAAGACCACCAGUGGCGAAGGCGGCUUGCCAGAACGCGCUCGACGGUGAGGGAUGAAAGCUGGGGGAGCGAACCGGAUUAGAUACCCGGGGUAGUCCCAG